AGUGAACGCUGGCGGUAGGCCUAACACAUGCAAGUCGAACGGCAGCACAGUAAGAGCUUGCUCUUACGGGUGGCGAGUGGCGGACGGGUGAGGAAUACAUCGGAAUCUACUUUUUCGUGGGGGAUAACGUAGGGAAACUUACGCUAAUACCGCAUACGACCUACGGGUGAAAGCAGGGGAUCUUCGGACCUUGCGCGAUUGAAUGAGCCGAUGUCGGAUUAGCUAGUUGGCGGGGUAAGGGCCCACCAAGGCGACGAUCCGUAGCUGGUCUGAGAGGAUGAUCAGCCACACUGGAACUGAGACACGGUCCAGACUCCUACGGGAGGCAGCAGUGGGGAAUAUUGGACAAUGGGCGCAAGCCUGAUCCAGCCAUACCGUGUGGGUGAAGAAGGCCUUCGGGUUGUAAAGCCCUUUUGUUGGGAAAGAAAAGCAGCAGGUUAAUACCCCGCUGUUCUGACGGUACCCAAAGAAUAAGCACCGGCUAACUUCGUG
RNAcentral lists this ribosomal RNA (492 nucleotides) under uncultured bacterium. RNAcentral describes it as "partial 16S ribosomal RNA". It matches the Rfam family "Bacterial small subunit ribosomal RNA", at positions 29 to 507 of the family's 1533-position model. The record is from RNAcentral.